This 429-nucleotide ribosomal RNA is filed under the name Bacillota bacterium. RNAcentral describes it as "Firmicutes bacterium partial 16S ribosomal RNA". It matches the Rfam family "Bacterial small subunit ribosomal RNA", at positions 355 to 776 of the family's 1533-position model. Lineage: Bacteria; Bacillati; Bacillota. The record is from RNAcentral.
UAGGGAAUCUUCCACAAUGGACGCAAGUCUGAUGGAGCAACGCCGCGUGAGUGAAGAAGGUUUUCGGAUCGUAAAGCUCUGUUGUUGGUGAAGAAGGAUAGAGGUAGUAACUGGCCUUUAUUUGACGGUAAUCAACCAGAAAGUCACGGCUAACUACGUGCCAGCAGCCGCGGUAAUACGUAGGUGGCAAGCGUUGUCCGGAUUUAUUGGGCGUAAAGCGAGCGCAGGCGGAAGAAUAAGUCUGAUGUGAAAGCCCUCGGCUUAACCGAGGAACUGCAUCGGAAACUGUUUUUCUUGAGUGCAGAAGAGGAGAGUGGAAUUCCAUGUGUAGCGGUGGAAUGCGUAGAUAUAUGGAAGAACACCAGUGGCGAAGGCGACUCUCUGGUCUGCAACUGACGCGGAGGCUCGAAAGCAUGGGUAGCGAACAGG